Molecule: ribosomal RNA, 414 nt
Filed under: uncultured Anaplasma sp.
Lineage: Bacteria; Pseudomonadati; Pseudomonadota; Alphaproteobacteria; Rickettsiales; Anaplasmataceae
Description: bacterial SSU rRNA
Rfam family: Bacterial small subunit ribosomal RNA
Source: RNAcentral
CCUAGUAGUAUAGGAUAGCCACUAGAAAUGGUGGGUAAUACUGUAUAAUCCCUGCGGGGGAAAGAUUUAUCGCUAUUGGAUGAGCCUAUGUUAGAUUAGCUAGUUGGUAGGGUAAAGGCCUACCAAGGCAGUGAUCUAUAGCUGGUCUGAGAGGAUGAUCAGCCACACUGGAACUGAGAUACGGUCCAGACUCCUACGGGAGGCAGCAGUGGGGAAUAUUGGACAAUGGGCGCAAGCCUGAUCCAGCUAUGCCGCGUGAGUGAGGAAGGCCUUAGGGUUGUAAAACUCUUUCAGUGGGGAAGAUAAUGACGGUACCCACAGAAGAAGUCCCGGCAAACUCCGUGCCAGCAGCCGCGGUAAUACGGAGGGGGCAAGCGUUGUUCGGAAUUAUUGGGCGUAAAGGGCAUGUAGGCG